This 608-nucleotide long non-coding RNA is filed under the name Equus caballus (horse). RNAcentral describes it as "lncRNA (ENSECAG00000045670.1)". Lineage: Eukaryota; Metazoa; Chordata; Mammalia; Perissodactyla; Equidae. The record is from RNAcentral.
AGGCUGAGCUGUCACAAUGCCCAAAGCUGAGGCUGAAGCCAGAGCAGAAGACCCCCAGGCAGCUGAAGAGGACCUACCUGGCACUGGAGCGAGGUGUAACUGACAAUGCCAGGAGCUUGGCCCACGCCAGGAGAGCAGAGCACCAUCCACUCCAAACGGAGUGGCUGGGACAGCUGGGUGACUACAUUCUGGGCCAUCCCAUAGGCUGAGAGAGAGGAGGGGCAGAGCAGAGGACUAGAAGAAGACAAGUAAAACCUCAGGCUAGUCAUUCCAGAGGUGGUGGCUUGAGAGAAAGAGAGAAGAAAAAGAGAGAAAGGGAGAAAACUUCACGAGCGAUGCUGUGUCCUUUCUGGUGUAUUACAUCAUGAGGCACACGAUGUCUGAUCGUUCCACUUUUAGAGAUGUGAAAAUCGAUCACUGGGUUCAGGUGUUAUCAGCAUGGUCCAUUCAAAGAUUCCCUGUCAACCUUUCACUUAGUAGUUAUUGAUGGUCGUUGCCUAGAUUCUUCAUUUCAUCAAGUGUACCAAAGCAAUGGUUCUCUAAUUCGAUCAUUCCCUUUGCCUUUAUUAGCUGGAAUUCUUUUAUACAGAACUCCUUAUCACUUCUUU